AGAGUUUGAUCCUGGCUCAGAUUGAACGCUGGCGGCAUGCCUAUCACAUGCAAGUCGAACGGAAACGAUGGAAGCUUGCUUCCAGGCGUCGAGUGGCGGACGGGUGAGUAAUGCUUAGGAAUCUGCCCAGUAGCGGGGGAUAACCCGGGGAAACUCGGAUUAAUACCGCAUACGCCCUACGGGGGAAAGUGGGGGACUCUUCGGAGCCUCACGCUAUUGGAUGAGCCUAAGUCGGAUUAGCUUGUUGGUAGGGUAAAGGCCUACCAAGGCGACGAUCCGUAGCUGGUCUGAGAGGACGAUCAGCCACACUGGGACUGAGACACGGCCCAGACUCCUACGGGAGGCAGC
This 348-nucleotide ribosomal RNA is filed under the name uncultured bacterium. RNAcentral describes it as "bacterial SSU rRNA". It matches the Rfam family "Bacterial small subunit ribosomal RNA", at positions 8 to 352 of the family's 1533-position model. The record is from RNAcentral.